RNAcentral lists this ribosomal RNA (200 nucleotides) under uncultured bacterium. Its description in RNAcentral is "partial 16S ribosomal RNA". It matches the Rfam family "Bacterial small subunit ribosomal RNA", at positions 8 to 205 of the family's 1533-position model. The record is from RNAcentral.
AGAGUUUGAUCCUGGCUCAGAGCGAACGCUGGCGGCGUGCUUAACACAUGCAAGUCGAGUGCGCGUCUGUAGCAAUACAGAUGGCGCACGGCGCACGGGUGCGUAACACGUGGGUAAUCUGCCCUUCGAAGGGGAAUAACUCGCCGAAAGGCGAGCUAAUUCCGCAUAACAUUCCGAGGACUUUGGUUCUUGGAUUCAAA